This 279-nucleotide ribosomal RNA is filed under the name uncultured bacterium. Its description in RNAcentral is "partial 16S ribosomal RNA". It matches the Rfam family "Bacterial small subunit ribosomal RNA", at positions 506 to 784 of the family's 1533-position model. The record is from RNAcentral.
UGCCAGCAGCCGCGGUAAUACGGAGGGGGCAAGCGUUGCUCGGAUUUACUGGGCGUAAAGGGUCCGCAGGCGGUUCGUUAAGUCUGAUGUGAAAGCCCGGGGCUCAACCCCGGAAGUGCAUUGGAAACUGGCGAACUUGAGUACGGGAGAGGAAAGUGGAAUUCCGAGUGUAGGGGUGAAAUCCGUAGAUAUUCGGAGGAACACCAGUGGCGAAGGCGGCUUUCUGGACCGAUACUGACGCUGAGACGCGAAAGCGUGGGGAGCAAACAGGAUUAGAUA